CACAACUGAUCAACUAACUCAACCGGUCUGUGAUAAAACGGUUACAUUAGUUGCUUAGUGCAACAUCAUGACCUGAUGGUGACCUUUCAGCACAUAAUGAUCCCACUGUGACAUGACUACCACAACCUGGUGUUUUAAGGGUUCGGGUUGCCUAGGUGCCACAUUAGAAACAUUUGGUGUAAAUACAUGAUGGCAUUUCUAGAUUCCACUUGAGAAUGAUUUCAGUUUGCAAUACUAUUCAUAUUUUGGACCAGACCCAUUCAGUGCCUUUUAUACCAGCAACAAACUUUUAAAAUCAAUUAUUUGGGGCACAGUUGCUGUAGAGAUGUGAGAAACUGAGUGAUGCGUUAUCCUUUUUGUGGUCUUUGUGAGGACACAAGCAGCAGCUUUCUGCAUGAGGUGCAGUUGUCUCGGUGAGAGAGAUGGAGUACAGAUAAAGGGAGUUUGGAGUUAAUAUGGGCAACCCUGUGCCACUGUCAAUGGAGAACUGGUUACUGAGUUCUCAAUGCAUACCACUCACCUUAAAUUAGGAAUACAUCUUGAUCAAAGGUUUUACAGGUAACUUGAAUUUUGUUUCAACUUCUGUUUUCUUUGAGGCAGCAAAGUUAGGUUUUCAUGUUUCUAUGUUUUCAAGAGUUGUCAAAAGCAUCUUCCUAAUUCCAAAAAAACUUUGGUACAAACAGACGUUGCACUGCAUAAAAACACCCUGAUGACAAAACUUAGCAUUCUUGUUUAAAAAUAAGCAUGAAUGCUUGAAAUGUGCCUCAAAACUAGACAAUCUACUACAAUGGGAUGCAUUCUAACAGCAGCAGACACAUGCACACUUGAAGCGACUCAUUUCCUUUUUUUCCUUUCUUCCUGGGCUUCAGCACACUGCUGAACAUACAAGGACAAAAUCACGGAACAGCUGUAUUGUAUCACUAAUUUUAGCUCCCUUAACCACAACCCUAAUGCCUCCCCUGCACUACAGCUGUGCAGGAACUACACUACCAUGCUUAAUACUGAAAUAAAUCAACAGCAUUGCAACAGCUGUUUUGCAGAGUAGGAUGAAAAGUUUUUAAUCAUAUAAACACAUUACUAUCAUGUGAUGAGAAUCUGUAAAGGCUGAAUCACCAAGUGAACUGCUGGUGGCUGAGAACCUAGUUUUAGGGAUGUCACAUUUCUAUAAAAUAUCUGGGAGAUAUGAUGGGACCACACAAAGCCUCAUUGGCUGAACU
Melanotaenia boesemani (Boeseman's rainbowfish) is the source of this 1217-nucleotide long non-coding RNA. RefSeq lists it as uncharacterized. NCBI's taxonomy places the organism in Eukaryota, Metazoa, Chordata, Actinopteri, Atheriniformes, Melanotaeniidae. The transcript has 3 exons. The record is from RefSeq and is a predicted model, not a curated record.